GCCUGGGUGGCUCAGUCGGUUGAGCAUCCGACUUCGGCUCAGGUCACGAUCUCGGGAUCCGUGAGUUCGAGCCCCGCAUCGGGCU
Transfer RNA from Felis catus (domestic cat), 85 nucleotides. It matches the Rfam family "tRNA". From Rfam's summary of the family: Transfer RNA (tRNA) molecules are approximately 80 nucleotides in length. Their secondary structure includes four short double-helical elements and three loops (D, anti-codon, and T loops). Further hydrogen bonds mediate the characteristic L-shaped molecular structure. tRNAs have two regions of fundamental functional importance: the anti-codon, which is responsible for specific mRNA codon recognition, and the 3' end, to which the tRNAs corresponding amino acid is attached (by aminoacyl-tRNA synthetases). tRNAs cope with the degeneracy of the genetic code in two manners: having more than one tRNA (with a specific anti-codon) for a particular amino acid; and 'wobble' base-pairing, i.e. permitting non-standard base-pairing at the 3rd anti-codon position. Lineage: Eukaryota; Metazoa; Chordata; Mammalia; Carnivora; Felidae. The record is from Rfam.